GAUGAACGCUGGCGGCGUGCCUAAUACAUGCAAGUAGAACGCUGAAGGAGGAGCUUGCUCUUCUGGAUGAGUUGCGAACGGGUGAGUAACGCGUAGGUAACCUGCCUGGUAGCGGGGGAUAACUAUUGGAAACGAUAGCUAAUACCGCAUGACAACAGUUAUUGCAUGAUAACUGUUUAAAAGGGGCAACUGCUCCACUACCAGAUGGACCUGCGUUGUAUUAGCUAGUUGGUGAGGUAACGGCUCACCAAGGCGACGAUACAUAGCCGACCUGAGAGGGUGAGCGGCCACACUGGGACUGAGACACGGCCCAGACUCCUACGGGAGGGGGCAGGAGGGAAACUUCGGCAAUGGGCGGAAGUCUGACCGAGCAACGCCGCGUGAGUGAAGAAGGUUUUCGGAUCGUAAAGCUCUGUUGUAAGAGAAGAACGAGUGUGAGAGUGGAAAGUUCACACUGUGACGGUAUCUUACCAGAAAGGGACGGCUAACUACGUG
RNAcentral lists this ribosomal RNA (495 nucleotides) under uncultured bacterium. Its description in RNAcentral is "partial 16S ribosomal RNA". It matches the Rfam family "Bacterial small subunit ribosomal RNA", at positions 28 to 507 of the family's 1533-position model. The record is from RNAcentral.